Molecule: ribosomal RNA, 393 nt
Filed under: uncultured bacterium
Lineage: Bacteria
Description: partial 16S ribosomal RNA
Rfam family: Bacterial small subunit ribosomal RNA
Source: RNAcentral
AUACGUAGGGGGCGAGCGUUGUCCGGAAUGAUUGGGCGUAAAGGGCGCGUAGGCGGCCCGGUAAGUCUGGAGUGAAAGUCCUGUUUUUAAGAUGGGAAUUGCUUUGGAUACUGUCGGGCUUGAGUGCAGGAGAGGUAAGUGGAAUUCCCAGUGUAGCGGUGAAAUGCGUAGAGAUUGGGAGGAACACCAGUGGCGAAGGCGUCUUACUGGACUGUAACUGACGCGGCGGCGCGAAAGUGUGGUGAGCAAACAGGAUUAGAUGCCCUGGUAGUCCACACGGUAAACGAUGAUUACCCGCUGUCGGCGGUAGACAGUCGGCGGCCAAGCGAAAGCGAUAAGUAAUCCACCUGGGGAGUACGCCGGCAACGGUGAAACUUAAAUGAAUUGGCGGGG